RNAcentral lists this long non-coding RNA (296 nucleotides) under Panax ginseng (ginseng). RNAcentral's name for it is "long non-coding RNA (PGIN_LNC011051)". Lineage: Eukaryota; Viridiplantae; Streptophyta; Magnoliopsida; Apiales; Araliaceae. The record is from RNAcentral.
GUCAAGUUAUAGAGGCCCAAAGUAGGCAUCACGAACUGCUCUUCACGAAGAACAGCUCUGAUAGCUACUUUGAUGGCUAAUUUCUCCCAGAUCUGAUGUUGUUUAGAAGUAAUGAUUGUUGGUUAUUGUAGUCUGGUAUUUCGUCUACAAGAUCCAAGUCAUAGAUUUCCCAGAUUCGUUAAGAGCACAAAGUUAUUCACGGUCAAAGUAGUCCCCUCACACGCUGCUCUGACAGUGUUCUUGAGAUGAAGAACACCUAUAGCGACGGUUCUGUCACUAUAGGCCCCUUUGGCGAC